GACGAACGCUGGCGGCGUGCCUAAUACAUGCAAGUAGAACGCUGAAGAGAGGAGCUUGCUCUUCUUGGAUGAGUUGCGAACGGGUGAGUAACGCGUAGGUAACCUGCCUUGUAGCGGGGGAUAACUAUUGGAAACGAUAGCUAAUACCGCAUAACAAUGGAUGACACAUGUCAUUUAUUUGAAAGGGGCAAUUGCUCCACUACAAGAUGGACCUGCGUUGUAUUAGCUAGUAGGUGAGGUAACGGCUCACCUAGGCGACGAUACAUAGCCGACCUGAGAGGGUGAUCGGCCACACUGGGACUGAGACACGGCCCAGACUCCUACGGGAGGCAGCAGUAGGGAAUCUUCGGCAAUGGGGGCAACCCUGACCGAGCAACGCCGCGUGAGUGAAGAAGGUUUUCGGAUCGUAAAGCUCUGUUGUAAGUCAAGAACGAGUGUGAGAGUGGAAAGUUCACACUGUGACGGUAGCUUACCAGAAAGGGACGGCUAACUACGUGCCAGCAGCCGCGGUAAUACGUAGGUCCCGAGCGUUGUCCGGAUUUAUUGGGCGUAAAGCGAGCGCAGGCGGUUUGAUAAGUCUGAAGUUAAAGGCUGUGGCUCAACCAUAGUUCGCUUUGGAAACUGUCAAACUUGAGUGCAGAAGGGGAGAGUGGAAUUCCAUGUGUAGCGGUGAAAUGCGUAGAUAUAUGGAGGAACACCGGUGGCGAAAGCGGCUCUCUGGUCUGUAACUGACGCUGAGGCUCGAAAGCGUGGGGAGCGAACAGGAUUAGAUACCCUGGUAGUCCACGCCGUAAACGAUGAGUGCUAGGUGUUGGAUCCUUUCCGGGAUUCAGUGCCGCAGCUAACGCAUUAAGCACUCCGCCUGGGGAGUACGACCGCAAGGUUGAAACUCAAAGGAAUUGACGGGGGCCCGCACAAGCGGUGGAGCAUGUGGUUUAAUUCGAAGCAACGCGAAGAACCUUACCAGGUCUUGACAUCCCGAUGCUAUUUCUAGAGAUAGAAAGUUACUUCGGUACAUCGGUGACAGGUGGUGCAUGGUUGUCGUCAGCUCGUGUCGUGAGAUGUUGGGUUAAGUCCCGCAACGAGCGCAACCCCUAUUGUUAGUUGCCAUCAUUCAGUUGGGCACUCUAGCGAGACUGCCGGUAAUAAACCGGAGGAAGGUGGGGAUGACGUCAAAUCAUCAUGCCCCUUAUGACCUGGGCUACACACGUGCUACAAUGGUUGGUACAACGAGUUGCGAGUCGGUGACGGCAAGCUAAUCUCUUAAAAGCCAAUCUCAGUUUGGAUUGUAGGCUGCAACUCGCCUACACGAGGUCGGAAUCGCUAGUAAUCGCGGAUCAGCACGCCGCGGGGGAAUACGUUCCCGGGCCU
RNAcentral lists this ribosomal RNA (1371 nucleotides) under uncultured bacterium. RNAcentral's name for it is "bacterial SSU rRNA". It matches the Rfam family "Bacterial small subunit ribosomal RNA", at positions 28 to 1381 of the family's 1533-position model. The record is from RNAcentral.